GACGAACGCUGGCGGCGUGCUUAACACAUGCAAGUCGAACGAUGAACUUGGAGCUUGCUCUGGGGGAUUAGUGGCGAACGGGUGAGUAACACGUGAGUAACCUGCCCUUGACUCUGGGAUAACCUCCGGAAACGGAAGCUAAUACCGGAUAUGACGUACGGAGGCAUCUCCUGUGCGUGGAAAGAAUUUCGGUCAAGGAUGGACUCGCGGCCUAUCAGGUAGUUGGUGAGGUAACGGCUCACCAAGCCUACGACGGGUAGCCGGCCUGAGAGGGUGACCGGCCACACUGGGACUGAGACACGGCCCAGACUCCUACGGGAGGCAGCAGUGGGGAAUAUUGCACAAUGGGCGCAAGCCUGAUGCAGCAACGCCGCGUGAGGGAUGACGGCCUUCGGGUUGUAAACCUCUUUUAGUAGGGAAGAAGCGAAAGUGACGGUACCUGCAGAAAAAGCACCGGCUAACUACGUGCCAGCCGCCGCCGUAACAC
RNAcentral lists this ribosomal RNA (487 nucleotides) under uncultured bacterium. RNAcentral describes it as "bacterial SSU rRNA". It matches the Rfam family "Bacterial small subunit ribosomal RNA", at positions 28 to 526 of the family's 1533-position model. The record is from RNAcentral.